This 269-nucleotide ribosomal RNA is filed under the name uncultured archaeon. Its description in RNAcentral is "partial 16S ribosomal RNA". It matches the Rfam family "Archaeal small subunit ribosomal RNA", at positions 478 to 747 of the family's 1478-position model. The record is from RNAcentral.
AGCUCCCUAAGUGGUGAGGACGAUUAUUGGGCCUAAAGCGUCCGUAGCCGGCUUGGUAAGUUCUCCGUCAAAUCCGGCGAUCCAAUCGUCGGAUCGCGGGGAAUACUGUUAAGCUAGGAGGCGGAAGAGGCCGUCAGUACUUUCGGGGUAGGGGUGAAAUCCUAUAAUCCCGAAAGGACUACCAGUGGCGAAGGCGGACGGCCAGGACGCGCUCGACGGUGAGGGACGAAAGCUGGGGGAGCAAACCGGAUUAGAUACCCGAGUAGUCC